GAUUGAAGCAAAGCUCCUCCUCCUGUCAGUCACUCUCAGUUUCAGUGUUGUAUUAAAUUGCUCCUCCAGCACCUCCUCUCCUCAUCCUCCAAACCCUCCAAUCUGUCAGCAGGAAGCUCACUUUCCCAGUUACAAGGCCAUUCUCAGCACACACUGACAACAUGCUGGGGACCCUCUGCACUCUCAUCACUGCUCUAACAUAUGUUGAUGCAGUGAUAGUGUUGACCCAGACGCCUGCUGUCCACACAGUUUCUGCAGGACAAGAGGUUGUUCUCCACUGCAACAUUCAGAGAUAUGAUGGAAAUUAUGUCAGCUGGUAUAAACAGGUUCCUGGUGAAGCGCCUCAGUAUGUUGUGAGCUUUUACUAUGAGGACGAUUCACUCGACUUUGGAACAGGAUUCUCCUCAGACAGAUUCAACUCUAAAUCCACAUCAAACACAGAUUAUCAGUUCGUCAUUAAGAGGGCAGAGACAGGAGACACUGCUGUCUAUUACUGUAACACAUGGGAUGACUCUGCUGAUGCAGCUGUAUCACAGUGA
Chelmon rostratus (copperband butterflyfish) is the source of this 539-nucleotide non-coding RNA. Lineage: Eukaryota; Metazoa; Chordata; Actinopteri; Chaetodontiformes; Chaetodontidae. The record is from the annotation of a RefSeq genome assembly.